Molecule: non-coding RNA, 47 nt
Filed under: unclassified sequences
Description: SAM-SAH-Weickhmann-2018 RNA
Rfam family: SAM/SAH riboswitch aptamer
Source: RNAcentral
CUGUCACAACGGCUUCCUGGCGUGACGGUGCACACACCAAUGGAGCA